UGACGAGUGGCGGACGGGUGAGUAAUGCUUGGGAACUUGCCUUUGCGAGGGGGAUAACAGUUGGAAACGACUGCUAAUACCGCAUAAUGUCUUCGGACCAAACGGGGCUUCGGCUCCGGCGCAAAGAGAGGCCCAAGUGAGAUUAGCUAGUUGGUAAGGUAACGGCUUACCAAGGCGACGAUCUCUAGCUGUUCUGAGAGGAAGAUCAGCCACACUGGGACUGAGACACGGCCCAGACUCCUACGGGAGGCAGCAGUGGGGAAUAUUGCACAAUGGGGGAAACCCUGAUGCAGCCAUGCCGCGUGUGUGAAGAAGGCCUUCGGGUUGUAAAGCACUUUCAGUUGUGAGGAAAAGUUAGUAGUUAAUACCUGCUAGCCGUGACGUUAACAACAGAAGAAGCACCGGCUAACUCCGUGCCAGCAGCCGCGGUAAUACGGAGGGUGCGAGCGUUAAUCGGAAUUACUGGGCGUAAAGCGCACGCAGGCGGUUUGUUAAGCUAGAUGUGAAAGCCCCGGGCUCAACCUGGGAUGGUCAUUUAGAACUGGCAGACUAGAGUCUUGGAGAGGGGAGUGGAAUUCCAGGUGUAGCGGUGAAAUGCGUAGAUAUCUGGAGGAACAUCAGUGGCGAAGGCGACUCCCUGGCCAAAGACUGACGCUCAUGUGCGAAAGUGUGGGUAGCGAACAGGAUUAGAUACCCUGGUAGUCCACACCGUAAACGCUGUCUACUAGCUGUGUGUGUCUUUAAGACGUGCGUAGCGAAGCUAACGCGCUAAGUAGACCGCCUGGGGA
RNAcentral lists this ribosomal RNA (788 nucleotides) under Alteromonadales bacterium HOT2D10. RNAcentral describes it as "bacterial SSU rRNA". It matches the Rfam family "Bacterial small subunit ribosomal RNA", at positions 89 to 879 of the family's 1533-position model. Lineage: Bacteria; Pseudomonadati; Pseudomonadota; Gammaproteobacteria; Alteromonadales. The record is from RNAcentral.